This 31-nucleotide non-coding RNA is filed under the name Mus musculus (house mouse). Lineage: Eukaryota; Metazoa; Chordata; Mammalia; Rodentia; Muridae. The record is from RNAcentral.
UGAAAAGAGUUCUAGAUCACCAACACUGAUA